UAGGGAAUAUUGGGCAAUGGGCGGAAGCCUGACCCAGCCACGCCGCGUGCAGGAAGACGGCCCUCUGGGUUGUAAACUGCUUUUAACUGGGAAGAAAAGAGGCUAUGCGUAGCAAGUUGACGGUACCAGUUGAAUAAGCCACGGCUAACUACGUG
Molecule: ribosomal RNA, 155 nt
Filed under: uncultured bacterium
Lineage: Bacteria
Description: partial 16S ribosomal RNA
Rfam family: Bacterial small subunit ribosomal RNA
Source: RNAcentral